GACGAAGGUGGCAAGCGUUGUUCGGAAUCACUGGGCUUAAAGAGCACGUAGGCGGCUCAUCAAGCGUCUUGUGAAAUCCCCCGGCUCAACCGGGGAAUGGCUAGGCGAACUGAUGGGCUUGAGGCAGGCAGGGGCGAGUGGAACUCUUGGUGGAGCGGUGGAAUGCGUAGAUAUCAAGAGGAACGCCGGAGGCGAAGGCGACUCGCUGGGCCUGCUCUGACGCUGAGGUGCGAAAGCCAGGGGAGCGAACGGGAUUAGAUACCCUCGUA
This 269-nucleotide ribosomal RNA is filed under the name uncultured prokaryote. Its description in RNAcentral is "partial 16S ribosomal RNA". It matches the Rfam family "Bacterial small subunit ribosomal RNA", at positions 524 to 792 of the family's 1533-position model. The record is from RNAcentral.